CCUACGGGAGGCAGCAGUGGGGAAUAUUGCACAAUGGGGGAAACCCUGAUGCAGCGACGCCGCGUGAGUGAAGAAGUAUUUCGGUAUGUAAAGCUCUAUCAGCAGGGAAGAAGAAAGACGGUACCUGACUAAGAAGCCCCGGCUAACUACGUGCCAGCAGCCGCGGUAAUUCGUAGGGGGCAAGCGUUAUCCGGAUUUACUGGGUGUAACGGGAGCGUAGACGGCUGUGCAAGUCUGCAGUGAAAGCCCAGGGCUCAACCCUGGGACUGCUUUGGAACCUGUGGAGCUAGAGUGCUGGAGAGGGAAGUGGAAUUCCGAGUGUAGCGGUGAAAUGCGUAGAUAUUAGGAGGAACACCAGUGGCGAAGGCGGCUUACUGGACAGUAACUGACGUUGAGGCUCGAAAGCGUGGGGAGCAAACAGGAUUAGAUACCCCAGUAGUC
This 441-nucleotide ribosomal RNA is filed under the name uncultured bacterium. Its description in RNAcentral is "partial 16S ribosomal RNA". It matches the Rfam family "Bacterial small subunit ribosomal RNA", at positions 338 to 795 of the family's 1533-position model. The record is from RNAcentral.